Molecule: non-coding RNA, 340 nt
Organism: Penaeus vannamei (Pacific white shrimp)
Lineage: Eukaryota; Metazoa; Arthropoda; Malacostraca; Decapoda; Penaeidae
Source: RefSeq, a predicted model, not a curated record
UGCUGUGUUGCCAUACGCAUAACAAGCGAUUCACGUAAAGCUAAUUUAUUACAUUCAAUCAGAUUUUGUUUCACUAAUAACUACUUAAUUACCCUCAAAAUUAUCAAAUUAAUCCUAUCUGAUAAUAUGGGACUGAAGGACUAUGGAGCCAGUUGCCAAGUCGGGUUUCAGAAGGGAAAUUUCCUUCAUGUCUUGCGCUCUAACUACCGACUCGCGUUGGUGCCCGAUAUAAGGCGUCUUGCAGAGGGCACUGUUCACUCGCCUCCGCCAUCUGCUGCGAGAAGAAAGUGCUUUAAUAGCUCUCUAUUGAUCACCAUGUCGCAAACAGGACGUCCAGCAA